Molecule: ribosomal RNA, 443 nt
Filed under: uncultured Coriobacteriaceae bacterium
Lineage: Bacteria; Bacillati; Actinomycetota; Coriobacteriia; Coriobacteriales; Coriobacteriaceae
Description: bacterial SSU rRNA
Rfam family: Bacterial small subunit ribosomal RNA
Source: RNAcentral
CCUACGGGUGGCUGCAGUGGGGAAUUUUGCGCAAUGGGGGGAACCCUGACGCAGCAACGCCGCGUGCGGGAUGAAGGCCUUCGGGUUGUAAACCGCUUUCAGCAGGGAAGAUAGUGACGGUACCUGCAGAAGAAGCCCCGGCUAACUACGUGCCAGCAGCCGCGGUAAUACGUAGGGGGCGAGCGUUAUCCGGAUUCAUUGGGCGUAAAGCGCGCGUAGGCGGCCCGUCAAGCGGAACCUCUAACCCGAGGGCGCAACCCCCGGUCGGGUUCCGAACUGGCAGGCUCGAGUUUGGUAGAGGAAGAUGGAAUUCCCGGUGUAGCGGUGGAAUGCGCAGAUAUCGGGAAGAACACCGAUGGCGAAGGCAGUCUUCUGGGCCAUCAACUGACGCUGAGGCGCGAAAGCUGGGGGAGCGAACAGGAUUAGAUACCCCGGUAGUCAGG